RNAcentral lists this ribosomal RNA (367 nucleotides) under uncultured bacterium. Its description in RNAcentral is "partial 16S ribosomal RNA". It matches the Rfam family "Bacterial small subunit ribosomal RNA", at positions 355 to 716 of the family's 1533-position model. The record is from RNAcentral.
UGGGGAAUAUUGCACAAUGGGCGCAAGCCUGAUGCAGCCAUGCCGCGUGUGUGAAGAAGGCCUCGGGUUGUAAAGCACUUUCAGCGAGGAGGAAGGUGGUGGACUUAAUACGUUCAUCAAUUGACGUUACUCGCAGAAGAAGCACCGGCUAACUCCGUGCCAGCAGCCGCGUAAUACGGAGGGUGCAAGCGUUAAUCGGAAUUACUGGGCGUAAAGCGCACGCAGGCGGUUUGUUAAGUCAGAUGUGAAAAUCCCCGGGCUCAACCUGGGAACUGCAUUGAAACUGGCAAGCUAGAGUCUCNUAGAGGGGGUAGAAUUCCAGGUGGUAGCGGUGAAAUGCGUAGAGAUCUGGAGGAAUACCGGUGGC